This 447-nucleotide ribosomal RNA is filed under the name uncultured bacterium. RNAcentral describes it as "SSU rRNA". It matches the Rfam family "Bacterial small subunit ribosomal RNA", at positions 26 to 518 of the family's 1533-position model. The record is from RNAcentral.
AGAACGAACGCUGGCGGCAGGCCUAACACAUGCAAGUCGAACGCUGUAGCAAUACAGAGUGGCAGACGGGUGAGUAACGCGUGGGAACCUUCCCAGUGGUGCGGAAUAGCUCAGGGAAACUUGAGGUAAUACCGCAUAAGCCCUUAGGGGGAAAGAUUUAUCGCCAUUGGAUGGGCCCGCGUCGGAUUAGCUAGUUGGUGAGGUAAUGGCUCACCAAGGCAACGAUCCGUAGCUGGUUUGAGAGAAUGACCAGCCACACUGGGACUGAGACACGGCCCAGACUCCUACGGGAGGCAGCAGUGGGGAAUCUUGGACAAUGGGCGCAAGCCUGAUCCAGCCAUGCCGCGUGAGUGACGAAGGCCUUAGGGUUGUAAAGCUCUUUUGCCGGGGACGAUAAAUGACGGUACCCGGAGAAUAAGUCCCGGCUAACUUCGUGCCAGCAGCCGC